This is a long non-coding RNA of Triticum aestivum (bread wheat), 4142 nucleotides long. RefSeq lists it as uncharacterized. The record is from RefSeq and is a predicted model, not a curated record. NCBI's taxonomy places the organism in Eukaryota, Viridiplantae, Streptophyta, Magnoliopsida, Poales, Poaceae. The transcript has 3 exons.
GCGUUCGCUGGAUGAACCGAAUCCGUGACCGUGAGUGAGGCUCUUUCCUCCCCAAAUUUCCCCACACCACCCGAAACCCUCGCCUCCAUCGACCAUGCCGCCGACGACGACAUCAACGACGGCACCGUCGCUGCCGGACGAGCUCCUCGAGGAGGUCUUCCUCCGCCUCCCGCCGAGGAGCCCGCGCUCCUCGCGCGCGCCUCCUUCGCCAGCAAGCUCUGGCUCGGCCUCCUCUCCGGCCCUCGUUUCCGCCGUCGCUACGGCGAGUUCCAUGGAGCUCCCCCCAUGCUGGGGUUCCUUUAUUCAUGGCCUUAUCUCUGCAUGCCUGAUGAGGAGGAACCCGUGGCAAACUUCGUCUCCACCACGAAAUUCGCCGCGCGCGCUCCCGACGACCAUGGGUACACUCCGUGGGACUGCCGCCAUGGCCGCGUUCUCCUGGGCAAUCAUUAUAAAUAUGAUAUGGGCCUCGUCGUCUGGGACCCAAUGACAGGCCGCCGGAUGAAGCUGGAAGCGCCCGCGCACCAUUGGGUCGCCGCAGUGCUCUGCGAUGUGAGCGAUUGUGACCACCGCGCUUGCCAUGAGGGCCCCUUCCGGGUGGUCUUCGUCGGCCUGGACAGGAUUGGUCAUGACGACGAUGAUUGUGUUGCACGCGCGCGCGUGUACUCGCCGGAGACGGACGAGUGGAGCGAGCAGUGCCCUGGUCUGCUUAUCGCUGAUUGACGCGCCACCGGAGGGGUCUGUCUUUUGCGGUACUGCUAUCCUCAUGGCGAUGGCAGAUGGCAGUUUGGGUUUUGCACACGUGGACAGGUUAACCCUCCUCUGCCUGUGGUCAAGGCAGAUGGGUUCCGAUGGAGUUGCGUCAUGGACUGAGCGUGCAAUCAUCGAUCUCAAAAACCUUCUCCCCAUUCAAAAUCCCAAGAUAAGACUUAGAGUGAUUGGAUCUGUGGAGGGCCGUGAUAUCAUUUUCGUGGCCACAGACCUUGGCAUCUACGUACGAGAUUAAUCUCAAGUCAUUACAGUGGAAGAAGCUAUGGAAGAGAGAGAACUUCCGUACUUUGAUUCCAUACAUGGGUUUCUACAGUCCAUAAGGUUUGCAGAAUGACGGCGAUAGGAAGAAACUGCCGGAGGGACCGUCGGCGCUUCAACAGAAGGCGGUGCGAGCUCAUGAUGCAGCUCGGGCGGCGCCGGCUGGUGGUCUGCUGAGAAUCACCGAGGCUGGGGAAGAAGGUCUUGAAAUAUGAAUCGGACGAAAACUGAAGUGUUUGAAGCCUGCACCUGAUGAUGUGCCGCAGUUGGUCUUCCUAGGACAAGAUGGUUAAGAUGCUGAUCUCGCUUCUGGUCCGGUCUGGUCUCGAUUUCAGAAGUUGGUGAUCCUUUUUUUUCAGUAAUGUUCUUAGCUUGCUAUAUGUCUCGGUGGCUGUAGUGUUGUUUCCUGAUUUUGUGAUGUAAGUUCAGGUACAUCUCGGUGGCUGUAGUUUUAAGAUGCUGAUCUCGGUGGCUGAGUAUGGCAUGUAACCUGAAUCUCGAGAUAUAAGUUCAGGUACUAAAGGAUGGAUCUCAUAGAGGUUUUGAUAUUUUUCAACUUUUGGCUCCAAACAGUCAGGUAUUUGUUGCAUAUUUUUGGCCAACACUGCACAUAAUAUAUGCACACUCAUAUGGUUUUGGUUAGUUCCCAAAACAGAACAGAAAAAAAAAGGAAAUGAAAGGACCAUGAUUCAACAUCGCUUGGAAUAUUUUGAGCUUGUUUGCAGAAAUUGAGCUAAUGGCUAAUGGGGGAUUGGGGGUGUUCUGUCAAGUAAAUGGCAAAUGCAAAAUGGCGUAGGCGUAACAGAGCUCUACAUUACAUACUUGCAUAGAGAUCACCGGGAAUCAAGACAUGGGUUUUCAAGUGCAGAGAUCUGUGAAAAAGAAUCAGGGGGGUGGGGGGCUUCCCCCACCGAAAUAUAUUGAUGAGAACGGACUGUUGUCCCAGAAAGUUACAUCAUCAGAGUUUACAGUGAGAUCGUUAAGGGGGGAGAGAGGGCGGGAGCACACACACUCCCAGUGAGAUCAAGGUUCGGCAGCCCGGGCUGCCGGAGAGAGUCGUCGUGGCUCGAGUCGCGAGGCCCGCGCCCAUCACGUGGGUGAUGCCCUGCUGUCAGGAUAAGGGCAGCAGGGUACGACGGAGACUAGUUUCCCCUUCGGUGUUAAGAGAGCAGCGAUGCCUGCCUCCCUCCAAAGCAAGUCCCAAAGCUUUCCACUUUGGUGUAUGAAGAUCAAGACAGCUCAGCGCCCAGGACAUGUGUCGUUGCCGACCCCAUACUUACAUCAGGAUAACGCCUUUAGCAGGUGAAGCCACCUUUAGCCAGGAUAAGCUUGAGCCCUUGUCCCCCUUCAAAUUUGCCGCCCCGUGGUAUCCCUUCCCACUCAUAUUUUCAGGGAAGAGGACCAAGGCACUAUAAGAAGGGCAGGACAGCCAUUGUAGAGAGGGAUCUUCUUCUUCCUCACCUCGCCUUGUAGCUCCAAGCGCACUGUUGCGCACAAGCAAUCCCAGCCAAGUAGGAGUAGGGUUUUACAUCACCACGGUGGCCCGAACCUGGGAAAUUCAUGUGUCCUUGUCGUGCUCUGUGUUAGCAUGCGCCUCUCGAGCUUCGUCUCCGUCCACGUCUGGUCGCGUAGGCCGUGAACUAGAGCCGGCCGCAGAGCUUGAACCUAAAAUCUCUCAGCAAGUCCGUGGACGCAGCUCCCUGGACUCCGACACCAUCGGCGUCUUUUUGUAUUAUUGUUUCACUAUUGCUCUAUUUCCUCAAGCCAACACAGUUGAUCUUCCUCAUCCGUCACAGGGGAUGAUGCCAAACUCGUCUGUUGUUGAUUCUUUUGAUGCAAGCUGCUGGAUUGCGCGACCGAGCAGCCGAGUGGUCGAAAUGCAUGAUUCUAUCCUUCACCAUGAUUGUUGCCGUAUUAGGCAAGUUCUUAUGCAUUCUUAUCCGGUAACUUUGGAUAUCAUAUUGCUUUCAGAUGUUUGUAUUGUUACAUAAUAUAUAAAUAAAUAUUUUUUCAAUGGAUAUGGAUUGGAAAAGAGUGGAAUAAAAUAUGUUUAUGUGUAGGCUUGUCAUAUUGUCUAUUUUUUGACUGUUUGUUCGUAUUAAUAUGCUUGCAUAAAAUUUUACGUAGAAUUUUUCUUGAAUUUUUUCCUUUUUUAGGCAAUCUCACCUGCUAUGAUAUUUUUAAGUACAAAAAGAAAGAUCCGCGGGCUGACGUAACCAAGCAUGUUGGCCAGCCCCUAAAGAGUACAUGUUUUGCAAGAUUGUGAGCUUCGAAGUUUGAGCUCCUAUAUUCAUGUGUAAACUCACAUGCAAUAAAAGAAGAGGAUCUAGCUAUAAGUUCUUGAUUUUUUUUUCUCGACACCACACAACAUUAAUUACUGGGCCCAGAUGUGCAAGUAAUUUCAUUUGAACACUCUUUUCGGCCCAGAUGUGCCAUAGGUGAGCAGGCUACGGGAUACAUGUGUGCAUGAUUGCACUAAGUUUAAAUGAAAAAAAGAGACUGCACUAUGUUUUAAAAACAGAUGAUCUAUUCAAACUUCUACAGAUCAAUGAGUGCUGAAGGAACCAUAACCCGUGCACAAUUAAAAAAGAAGUGUUUUAUUACUAUUCAAAGUUUCUCGAAAUAGGUAAGAAAACAACAUGUAAUACGUGAGAAAAAAUAAUAUGAAAAGGAGUAACACGAAUUCUGUCUUUAAAAAAACAGAACUCCAACUUUAUUCACUUGUAAUUCGUGUAAUGUUCCUCACAAACAUGAAUUCUGUCUUUGCUCCAUUAUCUGUGUAGGCACGUAACAAACAUUAAACGAAUUAGCAAAUUUACUAAACCGGCUGGCCUAUUAUCAAUGUUUCACAGGCACAUAUUUUCCCCUUUCAUAAAUAAUAAAAAUGCGAUCGGCCGCGCUAGCAACAUGCUUAUGGCCAGUUGGAUGAAUAGUGAGGUCGAAUGGGCCUUCUAAACAAACAUGUUUGGCACAUGCACUGUUGGGCCCGGAAUGUGUCCAUGCUUAUCUAGUCGGUGGCCGAGUUGACCUGCCUCUCUGCCCAUGGAAAGAAAUCCCUAUUUUAUUGGUGACGGCUCUCUUUGCACUGGAGUGUUAUCUACCGUACUUCAUUUGCU